This 222-nucleotide ribosomal RNA is filed under the name uncultured archaeon. Its description in RNAcentral is "partial 16S ribosomal RNA". It matches the Rfam family "Archaeal small subunit ribosomal RNA", at positions 1080 to 1301 of the family's 1478-position model. The record is from RNAcentral.
UGGGAUGNUGGGCACACUAAGGGGACCGCCUAUGAUAAAUAGGAGGAAGGAGUGGACGACGGUAGGUCCGUAUGCCCCGAAUCCUCUGGGCAACACGCGGGCUACAAUGGCUGAGACAAUGGGUUCCGACACCGAAAGGNGGAGGUAAUCCUCUAAACUUAGUCGUAGUUCGGAUUGAGGACUGUAACUCGUNCUCAUGAAGCUGGAAUGCGUAGUAAUCGC